AUUGAACGCUGGCGGCAGGCCUAACACAUGCAAGUCGAGCGGUAGAGAGAAGCUUGCUUCUCUUGAGAGCGGCGGACGGGUGAGUAAUGCCUAGGAAUCUGCCUGGUAGUGGGGGAUAACGUUCGGAAACGGACGCUAAUACCGCAUACGUCCUACGGGAGAAAGCAGGGGACCUUCGGGCCUUGCGCUAUCAGAUGAGCCUAGGUCGGAUCAGCUAGUUGGUGAGGUAAUGGCUCACCAAGGCGACGAUCCGUAACUGGUCUGAGAGGAUGAUCAGUCAUACUGGAACUGAGACACGGUCCAGACUCCUACGGGAGGCAGCAGUGGGGAAUAUUGGACAAUGGGCGAAAGCCUGAUCCAGCCAUGCCGCGUGUGUGAAGAAGGUCUUCGGAUUGUAAAGCACUUUAAGUUGGGAGGAAGGGCAGUAAAUUAAUACUUUGCUGUUUUGACGUUACCGACAGAAUAAGCACCGGCUAACUCCGUGCCAGCCGCCGC
Molecule: ribosomal RNA, 495 nt
Filed under: uncultured bacterium
Lineage: Bacteria
Description: bacterial SSU rRNA
Rfam family: Bacterial small subunit ribosomal RNA
Source: RNAcentral